Molecule: ribosomal RNA, 301 nt
Filed under: uncultured bacterium
Lineage: Bacteria
Description: partial 16S ribosomal RNA
Rfam family: Bacterial small subunit ribosomal RNA
Source: RNAcentral
CAGUCGCCGCGGUAAUACGUAGGGUGCAAGCGUUAAUCGGAAUUACUGGGCGUAAAGCGUGCGCAGGCGGUUAUAUAAGACAGAUGUGAAAUCCCCGGGCUCAACCUGGGAACUGCAUUUGUGACUGUAUAGCUAGAGUACGGCAGAGGGGGAUGGAAUUCCGCGUGUAGCAGUGAAAUGCGUAGAUAUGCGGAGGAACACCGAUGGCGAAGGCAAUCCCCUGGGCCUGUACUGACGCUCAUGCACGAAAGCAUGGGGAGCAAACAGGAUUAGAUACCCCGGUAGUCCCUGUCUCUUAUAC